This 513-nucleotide ribosomal RNA is filed under the name uncultured microorganism. Its description in RNAcentral is "bacterial SSU rRNA". It matches the Rfam family "Bacterial small subunit ribosomal RNA", at positions 9 to 524 of the family's 1533-position model. The record is from RNAcentral.
GAGUUUGAUCGUGGCUCAGGAUGAACGCUGGCGGCGUGCUUAACACAUGCAAGUCGAACGAGGAAUUUUAAAUGAGACUUCGGUGGAUUUUAAAAUUCUUAGUGGCGGACGGGUGAGUAACGCGUGGGCAACCUGCCCUGUACAGGGGGGACAACAGCUGGAAACGGCUGCUAAUACCGCAUAAGACCACGGAGCCGCAUGGCUCAGUGGGAAAAACUCCGGUGGUACAGGAUGGGCCCGCGUUGGAUUAGGUAGUUGGUGAGGUAACGGCCCACCAAGCCGACGAUCCAUAGCCGACCUGAGAGGGUGACCGGCCACGUUGGGACUGAGACACGGCCCAAACUCCUACGGGAGGCAGCAGUGGGGAAUCUUCCGCAAUGGGCGAAAGCCUGACGGAGCAACGCCGCGUGAGUGAAGAAUUAUUUCGGUAUGUAAAGCUCUAUCAGCAGGGAAGAAAAUGACGGUACCUGACUAAGAAGCCCCGGCUAACUACGUGCCAGCAGCCGCGGUAAG